AGUUUCCUCUAUCGGUGCUGAGAUUUCGUCACACACUAAACCACAUGGGCUGAUGAGACUUCCAAGGUAAGUGAAGCG
RNAcentral lists this microRNA precursor (78 nucleotides) under Schistosoma haematobium. RNAcentral's name for it is "mir-3492 microRNA precursor family". It matches the Rfam family "mir-3492 microRNA precursor family". The record is from Rfam by way of RNAcentral. Lineage: Eukaryota; Metazoa; Platyhelminthes; Trematoda; Strigeidida; Schistosomatidae.